GAUCCUGAGAUGUAACUGCUCAGGUAUUGAUCCUGGGAUGUAACUGAUCAGGUAUUGAUCCUGAGAUGUAACUGAUCAGGUAUUGAUCCUGAGAUGUAACUGAUCAGGUAUUGAUCCUGGGAUGUAACUGAUCAGGUAUUGAUCCUGAGAUGUAACUGAUCAGGUAUUGAUCCUGGGAUGUAACUGAUCAGGUAUUGAUCCUGGGAUGUAACUGAUCAGGUAUUGAUCCUGGGAUGUAACUGAUCAGGUAUUGAUCCUGGGAUGUAACUGAUCAGGUAUUGAUCCUGGGAUGUAACUGAUCAGGUAUUGAUCCUGAGAUGUAACAGGUCAGGUAUUGAUCCUGGGAUGUAAAUGAUCAGGUAUUGAUCCUGGGAUGUAACUGAUCAGGUAUUGAUCCUGGGAUGUAACUGAUCAGGUAUUGAUCCUGAGAUGUAACAGGUCAGGUAUUGAUCCUGGGAUGUAACUGAUCAGGUAUUGAUCCUGGGAUGUAACUGAUCAGGUAUUGAUCCUGGGAUGUAACUGAUCAGGUAUUGAUCCUGAGAUGUAACUGAUCAGGUAUUGAUCCUGAGAUGUAACUGAUCAGGUAUUGAUCCUGGGAUGUAACUGGUCAGGUAUUGAUCCUGGGAUGUAACUGAUCAGGUAUUGAUCCUGGGAUGUAACUGAUCAGGUAUUGAUCCUGAGAUGUAACAGGUCAGGUAUUGAUCCUGAGAUGUAACUGAUCAGGUAUUGAUCCUGGGAUGUAACAGGUCAGGUAUUGAUCCUGAGAUGUAACUGAUCAGGUAUUGAUCCUGGGAUGUAACUGAUCAGGUAUUGAUCCUUGGAUGUAACUGAUCAGGUAUUGAUCCUGGGAUGUAACUGAUCAGGUAUUGAUCCUUGGAUGUAACUGAUCAGGUAUUGAUCCUGAGAUGUAACUGAUCAGGUAUUGAUCCUGAGAUGUAACUGAUCAGGUAUUGAUCCUGAGAUGUAACUGAUCAGGUAUUGAUCCUGGGAUGUAACUGAUCAGGUAUUGAUCCUGAGAUGUAACUGAUCAGGUAUUGAUCCUGGG
Oncorhynchus keta (chum salmon) is the source of this 1045-nucleotide long non-coding RNA. RefSeq lists it as uncharacterized. The record is from RefSeq and is a predicted model, not a curated record. The transcript is spliced from 3 exons. Lineage: Eukaryota; Metazoa; Chordata; Actinopteri; Salmoniformes; Salmonidae.